RNAcentral lists this small RNA (288 nucleotides) under Pongo abelii (Sumatran orangutan). RNAcentral describes it as "Metazoan signal recognition particle RNA (ENSPPYG00000036263.1)". Lineage: Eukaryota; Metazoa; Chordata; Mammalia; Primates; Hominidae. The record is from RNAcentral.
GCCGGGCGUGGUGGCGGGCGCCUGUAGUCCCAGCUACUCCGGAGGCUGAGGCAGGAGAAUGGCGUGAACCCAUGAGGCGGAGCUUGCAGUGAGCCGAGAUCCCGCCGCUGCACUCCAGCCUGGGUGACAGAGCGAGACUCCAUCUCAAAAAAAAAAAAGGCUUUUUUUUUUUUUUUUUUUUUUUUUGAGACAGAGUCUCACUCUUGUUGCCCAGGCUGGAGUGCAGUGGCGCGAUCUUGGCUCACUGCAACCUCCGUCUCCCGGGUUCAAGUGAUUCUCCUGCCUCAG